This is a non-coding RNA of Pelobates cultripes (western spadefoot toad), 333 nucleotides long. NCBI's taxonomy places the organism in Eukaryota, Metazoa, Chordata, Amphibia, Anura, Pelobatidae. The record is from the annotation of a GenBank genome assembly.
GUGCAUUGCACUGUGUCAUGUUAGAAGCCAAACAGUCCAGGCUGACAUACUGUGUGGCCAAGAGACACAUUUUGCCAAACACAAAAUUCCCUGCGUUUACAAUCAAAACUACCCCACCAUUUAUAACUCCCGCCAUCAUAAAAAGAAAUGAAGCACUAGUAUUUUAUCCCACAAGUCCUUGCAAUGCAGGUUUGCCUAAAUAUACAACAAGGCUAAGGGCAGAUUUAACAUUGUUUCUUGCACCAUGAAUGGCAUUGACUUAAAGGACCACUAUAGUGCCAGAAAAACAAACUCGUUUUCCUGGCACAAUAGUGCCCUGAGGGUGCCCUCACC